RNAcentral lists this ribosomal RNA (508 nucleotides) under uncultured bacterium. Its description in RNAcentral is "partial 16S ribosomal RNA". It matches the Rfam family "Bacterial small subunit ribosomal RNA", at positions 28 to 507 of the family's 1533-position model. The record is from RNAcentral.
GACGAACGCUGGCGGCGUGCCUAAUACAUGCAAGUCGAACGCUUCUUUCCUCCCGAGUGCUUGCACUCAAUUGGAAAGAGGAGUGGCGGACGGGUGAGUAACACGUGGGUAACCUACCCAUCAGAGGGGGAUAACACUUGGAAACAGGUGCUAAUACCGCAUAACAGUUUAUGCCGCAUGGCAUCAGAGUGAAAGGCGCUUUCGGGUGUCGCUGAUGGAUGGACCCGCGGUGCAUUAGCUAGUUGGUGAGGUAACGGCUCACCAAGGCCACGAUGCAUAGCCGACCUGAGAGGGUGAUCGGCCACACUGGGACUGAGACACGGCCCAGACUCCUACGGGAGGCAGCAGUAGGGAAUCUUCGGCAAUGGACGAAAGUCUGACCGAGCAACGCCGCGUGAGUGAAGAAGGUGUUCGGAUCGUAAAACUCUGUUGUUAGAGAAGAACAAGGACGUUAGUAACUGAACGUCCCCUGACGGUACCUAACCAGAAAGCCACGGCUAACUACGUG